This 832-nucleotide ribosomal RNA is filed under the name uncultured bacterium. RNAcentral describes it as "bacterial SSU rRNA". It matches the Rfam family "Bacterial small subunit ribosomal RNA", at positions 8 to 832 of the family's 1533-position model. The record is from RNAcentral.
AGAGUUUGAUCAUGGCUCAGAACGAACGCUGGCGGCGCGUCUUAAGCAUGCAAGUCGAACGAAUGUCCACCCUCGGGUGGGCGGAAGUGGCGGACGGGUGAGUAACACGUGGGUAAUCUGCCCUCCGGUGGGGAAUAGCACAUGGAAACACGUGAUAAUACCGCAUGAUACGGUCCGGCGGAUGCCGGAUUGGGAAAGCUCCUGCGGGAGCGCCGGGGGAUGAGCCUGCGGCCCAUUAGCUGGUUGGCGGGGUAAAGGCCCACCAAGGCGACGAUGGGUAGCCGGACUGAGAGGUUGAACGGCCACAUUGGGAUUGAGAACGGCCCAGACCCCUACGGGAGGCAGCAGCUAAGAAUCUUCCACAAUGGACGGAAGUCUGAUGGAGCGACGCCGCGUGGACGAUGAAGGUCGUGAGGUUGUAAAGUCCUUUUCGGGAGGGUGAAUAACCGCGGGAGGGAAUGCCCGCGGGAUGACGUGAAUCCCGGAAUAAGCCCCGGCUAACUACGUGCCAGCAGCCGCGGUAAUACGUAGGGGGCGAGCGUUGUUCGGAAUCAUUGGGCGUAAAGGGUGCGCAGGUGGCCGAUCAAGUCUGGCGUGAAAGUGCGGGGCUCAACUCCGUGAUGCGCUGGAAACUGGCCGGCUAGAGUACAGCAGGGGGCGUCGGAAUUCCAGGUGUAGGGGUGAAAUCUGUAGAUAUCUGGAAGAACACCGGUGGCGAAGGCGGACGCCUGGGCAUGUACUGACACUGAGGCACGAAGGUGCGGGGAGCAAACAGGUUUAGAUACCCUGGUAGUCCGCACAGUAAACGAUGCACACUGGGUGUCGGGGGCAA